GAUGAACGCUAGCGGCAGGCUUAACACAUGCAAGUCGAGGGGUAUGCCGAUUUAUCGGCAGAGACCGGCGCACGGGUGCGUAACGCGUAUGCAAUCUACCUUUCACAGAGGGAUAGCCCAGAGAAAUUUGGAUUAAUACCUCAUAGUAUAGCAGUUUCGCAUGAAACCACUAUUAAAGUUCCAACGGUGAAAGAUGAGCAUGCGUCCCAUUAGCUAGAUGGUAAGGUAACGGCUUACCAUGGCUACGAUGGGUAGGGGUCCUGAGAGGAGAUCCCCACACUGGUACUGAGACACGGACCAGACUCCUACGGGAGGCAGC
Molecule: ribosomal RNA, 319 nt
Filed under: uncultured bacterium
Lineage: Bacteria
Description: bacterial SSU rRNA
Rfam family: Bacterial small subunit ribosomal RNA
Source: RNAcentral